CUGCUGCUGCUGCUUGUACUGGAAUGUUUUCAUUUCAUGUUACUUCACACACUGUUGCAGAGCAGUUUCAGGAGAGGAGACUAUGUUCCCCAUUAUUUAUUUGACAUCACAUUAGGAGUUUACAUCCAAAACAUAACCAUCUAAUAAAAUAUAAUAAUGCCCGGUCGUAAAUCACGAAUGACCCCGAAUAGAACAGUCCACAUCAUCUGCACCUGGAUCAGUUUCAAUUAUUAGUUAUGUGUCCCAAAACUUGCUCCCAGAACUACUUCUUUCAGCUCCAAACCAGAGCCUCGGUCCGUGUCAUACAACUUAAUGUUCAAAAAUCCCAACUAUCCCCUCAAGCAAUGGGUGAGGUUAUUUAUUUGUGUGGUGGCAAUUUAAAUCCCUGAUGUUUUGUGCCUCUGUGUUUGUUUUUCAGUGUAAUGUUGCGGGUUUGUGGCCCAGUGAAGUGGUUAUUAUUGGAUUUUUGGACACAGAUCUGGAUUUAGGACUUAAAAAAAAAAAAAAAAUUAUAGACGGGGGAGUUUUUGACCUGACUGUAGAUCGUUUGCAGAUAAACAAACUAAACUGCUUAGUGUGUUAAAGAAAUCUAUUUCUCUAUAUAUUGUAUUUAGAUAUCUAAAUAGUGUAAUUUUGAAGUUGAAGAUUUACUUAGUGCACAAAAGUCAUUAAACUUGUUUAGUUCAAGUUUCAGUAUCAUUACACUUGAAAGUACAAAUGACUACUCAGGCCCCUCUGAGGUCAAACAACAACAACAGUGACACUUAUUUGGAUUAAAUAGCAACUAAUAAAUGCAUUUUGUUCUUUUGUUUUAUUUAUUUAACCAGGAAAAUCAAUAAGAGUCAAGCAGAAGGAGGGCCCCCCUAAAUCCAAGUUCUGCUUUGGGGCCCCAUAGAGGCUUGGUCCGGCCCUGAUACCUCAUAGUUUGGCUGAAAUCUGGAUCUUGUGGGAAACUGAACGCCCUCAGCAGAGAUGUGGCCACGAUGAUGUGAGAGUGUGUCUGAUGUCCAACCUCAGCCCAAAUAUGACCCAGCGCACUAGGUCAAACGGUUGUUUGCUCGUGAGAGUUCAGCUAAAACGACGACGACAUGCGAAGGGCUGACAGCUAUGGCGCCAGAGAGAGAGGGAGGCAGAGAGAUUGUACACAUGACAAGGCCAACCUUGGCCCUCCACUUGUUCCCUCUCAAGAUGCUGACAUCUUUGGAGAUGAUUGAUUCACCCCGUCUGGCCAGAGAGGAGUGGAGAGUGGAGCCGGAUUCUCCCCGGGGCCGCAGCCCCCUGUCGCCAUGCCAUGGCUUCACCACAGUGUCACUUUACCAGCAAAAGAAGCCCCCCCCAACCCCCUGAACCAUCUCUUGUCUCCAGCAAGCUGCUGCAAUCAGCGCAGGGCCUGAUUGGACUUGGGCAGGACAGAUUGGGAAGCCGUGAUGGCGGCACAGAAGUUGAGGGAGAAGCUAUUUAUCCCAGACGGAUCAGGAGGUGUGUGACGGAGGUGUGGACGGUUGCUGCAGGUCAGUGACGUUGGCAGGCGCCAGGCAGGCCGGCCCACAUGGCUCGGGGACUGUGGGACUACAGACAGAUGGCACCUGCAUGUGGUGGACAAAGGGCAAAGGUCAGCUGGCAGCGGCCAGUCGCUUGUGGACCCGCCUGUCGUCCUGCAGCCGAGCUCCCAGAGGUUAAUUAAACAUGAAGGGAUCUCCCAUGAGGAAACCAGGUGUCUCAAAUGGAGAAACUACAACUGUUCAACAGCAGAGGGCGCCAUUUCACAACCUAAUGGGACACAAGACUCACACACGGAAGUCUGCUUGGCACGAUUGUCAUGGAAACAACGACAAAAACAAAAGGAAUUCAGGCAUUUUUGGGAAGUGAACAUCCUAAUGGAUAUCAAAAAUCAUUAGGCCAACACAAGAG
This is a long non-coding RNA of Solea solea (common sole), 1911 nucleotides long. RefSeq lists it as uncharacterized. NCBI's taxonomy places the organism in Eukaryota, Metazoa, Chordata, Actinopteri, Pleuronectiformes, Soleidae. The record is from RefSeq and is a predicted model, not a curated record. The transcript is spliced from 9 exons.